RNAcentral lists this small RNA (83 nucleotides) under Marmota monax (woodchuck). Lineage: Eukaryota; Metazoa; Chordata; Mammalia; Rodentia; Sciuridae. The record is from RNAcentral.
GCUGGGCGUGGUGGCCCACGCCUGUAAUCCCAGCAGCUCAGGAAGCUGAGGCAGGAAGGUGGCGAGUUCAAAGCCAGCCUCUG